CUGCUAAUCUCCCUCUUGCAACAGUAGCAAAGCUACAUAGUAAACUAGCUGCAGGCAAAAAAUCAUGUACUCAUGUUGCCCAUAUGUAUAACAUAUUUCUUUAAUGUCUGUCAUUUAAAAAAGAUAUACAUCGUGAUUAUUAUGAGGGAAUUCAAGUAGAGUUUGAUCUCAUUCAUUGCAAGAAAGCAACAGAGCAGCUUCAAGUGCUUCAAUUGCAGCUACUGGUCAAUAAUUGCAUGCAGACCACACAGCCUCCAGAACUUCAGGAACAGUUCAAAAUGCCUGGGGAAAUAACACUUUCUUUAAACCUCCUUCUGCCUGAACCUUAACACGGAGCUUCCAACUCUGCUAUGAAUGGGAAGAAGCCUGUCACAAUUCAACUAAGGAUAGAACAGACUGUUUUGCAAUCCUGC
Molecule: long non-coding RNA, 413 nt
Filed under: Gallus gallus (chicken)
Lineage: Eukaryota; Metazoa; Chordata; Aves; Galliformes; Phasianidae
Source: RNAcentral